GGCGCNCGGGUGCGUNNCGCGUGGGAAUCUGCCCUUGGGUUCGGAAUAGCAGCGAGAAAUAGCUGCUAAUACCGGAUGAUGACGUAAGUCCAAAGAUUUAUCGCCCAGGGAUGAGCCCGCGUAGGAUUAGCUAGUUGGUGGGGUAAAGGCCUACCAAGGCGACGAUCCUUAGCUGGUCUGAGAGGAUGAUCAGCCACACUGGGACUGAGACACGGCCCAGACUCCUACGGGAGGCAGCAGUGGGGAAUAUUGGACAAUGGGCGAAAGCCUGAUCCAGCAAUGCCGCGUGAGUGAUGAAGGCCCUAGGGUUGUAAAGCUCUUUUACCCGGGAUGAUAAUGACAGUACCGGGAGAAUAAGCUCCGGCUAACUCCGUGCCAGCAGCCGCGGUAAU
This 392-nucleotide ribosomal RNA is filed under the name uncultured bacterium. RNAcentral's name for it is "bacterial SSU rRNA". It matches the Rfam family "Bacterial small subunit ribosomal RNA", at positions 97 to 524 of the family's 1533-position model. The record is from RNAcentral.